This 460-nucleotide ribosomal RNA is filed under the name uncultured bacterium. RNAcentral describes it as "partial 16S ribosomal RNA". It matches the Rfam family "Bacterial small subunit ribosomal RNA", at positions 338 to 795 of the family's 1533-position model. The record is from RNAcentral.
CCUACGGGUGGCAGCAGUGAGGAAUAUUGGUCAAUGGACGAGAGCCUGAACCAGCCAAGUAGCGUGAAGGAUGACUGCCCUAUGGGUUGUAAACUUCUUUUAUAUGGGAAUAAAACGCUGUAUGUGUCGGAUUUUGUAUGUACCAUAUGAAUAAGGAUCGGCUAACUCCGUGCCAGCAGCCGCGGUAAUACGGAGGAUCCGAGCGUUAUCCGGAUUUAUUGGGUUUAAAGGGAGCGUAGGUGGGUUGUUAAGUCAGUUGUGAAAGUUUGCGGCUCAACCGUAAAAUUGCAGUUGAAACUGGCAGUCUUGAGUACAGUAGAGGUAGGCGGAAUUCGUGGUGUAGCGGUGAAAUGCUUAGAUAUCACGAAGAACUCCGAUUGCGAAGGCAGUUCACUGGACUGCAACUGACGCUGAGGCUCGAAAGUGUGGGUAUCAAACAGGAUUAGAUACCCCGGUAGUC